CCUACGGGAGGCUGCAGUGGGGAAUAUUGGGCAAUGGGCGCAAGCCUGACCCAGCAACGCCGCGUGAAGGAAGAAGGCUUUCGGGUUGUAAACUUCUUUUGUCAGGGACGAAGCAAGUGACGGUACCUGACGCAUCAGCCACGGCUACCUCCGUCCCAGCAGCCGCGGUACUACGUAGGUGGCAAGCGUUAUCCGGAUUUACUGGGUGUAAGGGGCGCGAAGGCGGGGUAGCAAGUCAGAUGUGAAAACCACGGGCUCAACCUGUGGCCUGCAUUUGAAACUGGUUUUCUUGAGUGCUGGAGAGGCAAUCGGAAUUCCGGGUGUAGCGGUGAAAUGCGUAGAGAUACGAAGGAACACCAGUGGCGAAGGCGGAUUGCUGGACAGUAACUGACGCUGAGGCGCGAAAGCGUGGGGAGCAAACAGGAUUAGAUACCCCGGUAGUC
Molecule: ribosomal RNA, 443 nt
Filed under: uncultured bacterium
Lineage: Bacteria
Description: partial 16S ribosomal RNA
Rfam family: Bacterial small subunit ribosomal RNA
Source: RNAcentral